Molecule: ribosomal RNA, 748 nt
Filed under: cyanobacterium enrichment culture clone 2_16_2.1.1_D07-T7
Lineage: Bacteria; Bacillati; Cyanobacteriota
Description: bacterial SSU rRNA
Rfam family: Bacterial small subunit ribosomal RNA
Source: RNAcentral
UAGAGUUUGAUCCUGGCUCAGGAUGAACGCUGGCGGUCUGCUUAACACAUGCAAGUCGAACGGGAUCCUUCGGGAUUUAGUGGCGGACGGGUGAGUAACGCGUGAGAAUCUGCCCUUAGGUUGGGGACAACAGUUGGAAACGACUGCUAAUACCCAAUGUGCCGAGAGGUGAAAGGUUAACUGCCUGGGGAUGAGCUCGCGUCUGAUUAGCUAGUUGGAGUGGUAACGGCACACCAAGGCGACGAUCAGUAGCUGGUCUGAGAGGAUGAUCAGCCACACUGGGACUGAGACACGGCCCAGACUCCUACGGGAGGCAGCAGUGGGGAAUUUUCCGCAAUGGGCGAAAGCCUGACGGAGCAAGACCGCGUGAGGGAGGAAGGCCUAUUGGUUGUAAACCUCUUUUGAUAGGGAAGAACACAAUGACGGUACCUAUCGAAUCAGCAUCGGCUAACUCCGUGCCAGCAGCCGCGGUAAUACGGAGGAUGCAAGCGUUAUCCGGAUUUAUUGGGCGUAAAGCGUCCGUAGGUGGCAAACCAAGUCAGUUGUUAAAGCGUAGAGCUUAACUCUAUAAGGGCAAUUGAAACUGGUUAGCUAGAGUGCGAUAGGGGCAAGGGGAAUUCCCAGUGUAGCGGUGAAAUGCGUAGAUAUUGGGAAGAACAUCGGUGGCGAAGGCGCCUUGCUGGGUCUGCACUGACACUGAGGGACGAAAGCUAGGGGAGCGAAAGGGAUUAGAUACCCCUGUAGUCCU